RNAcentral lists this ribosomal RNA (484 nucleotides) under uncultured bacterium. RNAcentral's name for it is "partial 16S ribosomal RNA". It matches the Rfam family "Bacterial small subunit ribosomal RNA", at positions 30 to 507 of the family's 1533-position model. The record is from RNAcentral.
AUUGAACGCUGGCGGCAGGCCUAACACAUGCAAGUCGAGCGGAUGAAGGGAGCUUGCUCCUGGAUUCAGCGGCGGACGGGUGAGUAAUGCCUAUGAAUCUGCCUGGUAGUGGGGGAUAACGUCCGGAAACGGGCGCUAAUACCGCAUACGUCCUGAGGGCGAAAGUGGGGGGGCUUCGGACGUCUCGCUUUCUGAUGAGGCUAGGUCGGAUUAGCUAGUUGGUGGGGUAGAGGCUUACCAAGGCGGCGAUCCUCAACUGGUCGGAGAGGAAGAUCAAACACCUUGUAAGGGAGACGCGUUCCCGACACCUGCGCGAGGCAGCAGCCGGGAAUAGUGGACAAUGGGCGAAAGCCUGAUCCAGCCCUGCCGCGUGUGUGCAGAAGGUCUUAUGACUGGAAAGCACUUUAAGUUGGAAGGAAGGGCAGUAAGUUAAUACGUUGCUGUAUUGACGUUACCAACAGAAUAAGCACCGGCUAACUCCGUG